This 497-nucleotide ribosomal RNA is filed under the name uncultured bacterium. RNAcentral describes it as "partial 16S ribosomal RNA". It matches the Rfam family "Bacterial small subunit ribosomal RNA", at positions 28 to 507 of the family's 1533-position model. The record is from RNAcentral.
GAUGAACGCUGGCGGCGUGCCUAAUACAUGCAAGUCGAGCGAACGGACGAGAAGCCUGCUUUUCUGAUGUUAGCGGCGGACGGGUGAGUAACACGUGGAUAACCUACCUAUAAGACUGGGAUAACUUCGGGAAACCGGAGCUAAUACCGGAUAAUAUUUUGAACCGCAUGGUUCAAAAGUGAAAGACGGUCUUGCUGUCACUUAUAGAUGGAUCCGCGCUGCAUUAGCUUGUUGGUAAGGUAACGGCUUACCAAGGCAACGAUGCAUAGCCGACCUGAGAGGGUGAUCGGCCACACUGGAACUGAGACACGGUCCAGACUCCUACGGGAGGCAGCAGUAGGGAAUCUUCCGCAAUGGGCGAAAGCCUGACGGAGCAACGCCGCGUGAGUGAUGAAGGUCUUCGGAUCGUAAAACUCUGUUAUUAGGGAAGAACAUAUGUGUAAGUAACUGUGCACAUCUUGACGGUACCUAAUCAGAAAGCCACGGCUAACUACGUG